RNAcentral lists this ribosomal RNA (448 nucleotides) under uncultured bacterium. RNAcentral's name for it is "partial 16S ribosomal RNA". It matches the Rfam family "Bacterial small subunit ribosomal RNA", at positions 355 to 791 of the family's 1533-position model. The record is from RNAcentral.
UGGGGAAUAUUGCACAAUGGGCGCAAGCCUGAUGCAGCCAUGCCGCGUGUGUGAAGAAGGCCUUCGGGUUGUAAAGCAGCUUUCAGCUGAGGAGGAAGGUGGUGAGCUUAAUACGCUCAUCAAUUGACGUUACUCGCAGAAGAAGCACCGGCUAACUCCGUGCCAGCAGCCGCGGUAAUACGGAGGGUGCAAGCGUUAAUCGGAAUUACUGGGCGUAAAGCGCACGCAGGCGGUUUGUUAAGUCAGAUGUGAAAUCCCCGGGCUCAACCUGGGAACUGCAUUUGAAACUGGCAAGCUAGAGUCUCGUAGAGGGGGGUAGAAUUCCAGGUGUAGCGGUGAAAUGCGUAGAGAUCUGGAGGAAUACCGGUGGCGAAGGCGGCCCCCCUGGACGAAGACUGACGCUCAGGUGCGAAAGCGUGGGGCAGCAAACAGGAUUAGAUACCCUGGU